This 459-nucleotide ribosomal RNA is filed under the name uncultured bacterium. RNAcentral's name for it is "bacterial SSU rRNA". It matches the Rfam family "Bacterial small subunit ribosomal RNA", at positions 8 to 507 of the family's 1533-position model. The record is from RNAcentral.
AGAGUUUGAUCAUGGCUCAGAACGAACGCUGGCGGCAUGCCUAACACAUGCAAGUCGAACGGGAUCCUAGCUUGCUAGGUGAGAGUGGCGACGGGUGAGUAACGCGUGGGAACGUACCCUUUGCUUCGGAAUAGCCCCGGGAAACUGGGAGUAAUACCGGAUGUGCCCUACGGGGGAAAGAAUUUCGGCAAAGGAUCGGCCCGCGUUGGAUUAGGUAGUUGGUGGGGUAAUGGCCUACCAAGCCGACGAUCCAUAGCUGGUUUGAGAGGAUGAUCAGCCACACUGGGACUGAGACACGGCCCAGACUCCUACGGGAGGCAGCAGUGGGGAACCCUAGACAAUGGGCGCAAGCCUGAUCUAGCCAUGCCGCGUGAGCGAUGAAGGCCUUAGGGUUGUAAAGCUCUUUCGUGGGGGAAGAUAAUGACGGUACCCCAAGAAGAAGCCCCGGCUAACUCCGUG